CAAAACAUGGGCGGGACGUGUAAUGCUGGACUGACUCUGAGAGCUGGACAGAAAGAAGGGAAGGAGCAGACGUGUCCCAGGAGAUGUUGAAUUGCCUUUGGAUAGAAAUUAAGCUAUAAUAACACGCAAAAAGGCGGCAUUGGUUUUCAUUAUCAAAUAAAGUCACGUUAAACUAUUUGGAUGUGAAAGAAGAAGAAGGUGAAGGUGUCAAAACACAUUUUGCGUUAAAAAGGGACUGCUUCACUGGGAGGGAGAAGCUGAGAGCUGCUGGGAGCCCGAACGCAGGAACAAGCUCUCAAAAGUUCAGACACAUUGGCUACUUCCCUCUGCUGGAGAGAACCAAGAUUCCUUCUGGAUGGACGGUCCAACCUACUGAGAGAUCCCUCUGAGGUCUAGGAGACUUCCAGAGGUGCCAGUCAGGCCAGUUCAGUGUUUGAUGCUGUGGAGUGCUUCUAAAUUAACCUCAGCACUGGAUAAAGGAAGAUACACAACCGAGGAUCUGAACUAUGCAAACCAAGAUGCUGAGGUCAAGAUUUCCAGAAACCAAGAUUUCUGGUCUGUCCUGCUGCCCCUGGAAAACAUUUUCAGCCUUUGUGCCGUGGUUACUUUCUUGAUUAAAUACAGAAGUUGUCUGCAUGCUCAUAAACCUCCAGGGGAGGAGGAGAACCACUGAGUUUUAAAGAGUUUUCAAAGCAUAAGAUGGCCUUAUUUCCUCUCAUGAUUCUCAGAACUCUCUCCUAAUUUCCCGUCAAAAAACUGCCACAUUAAUCAAAUUGCAGCCUGCAUGGCAAAAUGUGAUCUUGCCAGUUUCUGUGUCUGUAACUGUUUAGUGCUCCUUCAACUGAAUUCUGAGAGCCCAGUUCAAAUGAGUAAAUCUUUUUACAUUCAGUUCAUCUUCAAGGUUGGUAGAGCUUUGCCAUGCCCAAUACAGUGGUACAGAAAAAUCUUCUUAGUAGGAGAAGAGAUAUAUACCACGUACAUUCAUUACCUUUUAACCACCCAAGUCCACUGGAUUGCCUGAAACAAAACAGAAAUUACCCAGGCAGGAACACCUGAUCAAUAUGUGGAGGAAAUUCCUGUGUUUUCACAGAAGUUGCAAGAGAAGGGGAGAGACAAGAGAGAUGAGAGAAGCAGAUUUUGUUGCUUUAGAAAAGGACAAUGAAGGUGUUCAAAAGAAAUGCUAAGUAGGACAAGAAAAGUAGGGAACUUGAAAACAAAACAAAACAAAAAAACCCCACCUCUGUUUACAAGAGAUCCCCAAAAGAGAGAGCAUAAAACAAUCACUGAAGUGUAGAGUUACUUGGGUGACUGGUCUAGCAUUUGCUCACUUAAUGUUUGCAAGGAGCAAAACUCAGAACGGUUUUUGUCAGAAACACAGUGUUUGGGGCAUCUUGCCUCUCUCCAGGAAUUUGCUGUUGAUUCAGAGUUUCACAAGUAGCUCUUCCAGUAACACAAAUAGUCAUGGAAAAAUGCUAAAAGAGUCCUUUCCCCCUUGCCCUCUGACUCUUUUUAAUUGCUCACUGGAAACUUUUUACACUAUCCAUCACACAAGUCCUGUCAAACCUCCCUUCCGAACAAAGCUGGGUUCCCUGCAGUUCCCUUAGGAAAGAGACAAGUUCAAUGUUUGUUCCCACGGAGCAUUUUGGUGACCUCCACUCCCUGAAGUAUUCCUCUUCAUUUGAUCUGCAACCAGCUUGCCUCAACACGAGCGUCUGGGGAAGAGCACAGGAGCUGGAGAUAACCUGGCACCUGGUAGCCACUCUCCUCCCUUCCCACCGAAAUCAAAACCCAGCUCUUGGCAACAGCAGAGGCUCCUGAGAGGCGAAGAGGUGACCGAGGUUCAUAGUCCUUCAUUAACAGGUUGUGCAGUGGCGACAGCCUGCUGGCAGCAGUGCACGAGGGCUGUGCAAGGCCUGCGUCACAGCAUCACACAGAAUGGAAUGGAAUGGAAGGGACCUCUGGAGAUCAUCUAGUCCAACACACCUGCUGAAGCAAGUUCACCUAGAGCAGAUCGCACAGGAACACGUCCAGGUGGCUUUUGAACGUCUUCAGAGAAGGGAACUCCACAACCUCUCUGGGCAACCUGUUACAGUCCUCUGUCAAGCUCUUGACACCCACCCUUGAGAUAUUUAUAAGCAUAAAUAAAAUCCCCUCUCAGCCUUCUCUUCUCCAUCGUCUCCCUGCGGGUAACCAUGAGCCCCUGCAGCCGUGGCCCUGGCCCAUUGUGGCAGCCUUUUAGCCCUCCUGACUGAGGAAAAGCUCAUGAAGACCAGAGGUCUUCCAACCCCCUAGCAGAUGUAUUAGCCCUGCAGCAAAACCCUGUCAGCCCUUCCCUUGGCCAUGAAGAAAAAAAAAGUGUGUCUUCCAGGUGGGCAGCUCAUACACACAUAACCAACCCUCUCCUGGAGAGAAGUGAGCCCAGAGCGUACCAACAACCAAAUAAGUGCAUGAGGACAAGAAGAGUCAUGGCUAGGGCACAGAUAAGGUGCCUGGAUGUCUCCUGCUGCCUUUGAGUGGACACUGUGCCAAAUCAACAUUUGAGGGCGGUUUUUACUUUUAUCCAGGAUCGUCUUGCCAGGUUACCCAGCAGACCAGUUGGUGUUUCUGCAAGAGAGCUAUGUCUGGAAAUUUCGAGCUUUUCUUUCUGAUAUUUUGGGGAACAGAAGCUGACCAGAUGCCUGUUGGAUGCUCAAUAGACACAGUCUUCCCUGUAAGUGGGCACAGCAUCACUGCGUGGCCAUACCAUAGGUCCAACUCUUGCUGGCAGCACUGUCAGUGUAAAGGUAAUAAAGAAGCAGGCACCCAUAUUCGGCUGAGUGAGCAAAGGAACGUGUUUGGUGUUCCAGGUCAGACAACGACAAGUGGGUAACCCCAAAUUAGAAGCAGGUGAUUAAACUGUGCAGCCAGAAAGCAUGACUAUAACGCCAAGAAGCCAGCAAUUUAACACCACAGGAGGAUAAUUGUGUAAGACUUCAGGCCAUAUUAGUUUCAGCACAGACUGACCCUCACCCAGGGAUGACAAAGCGCCAACAGCUCCAAGCACAAUGACUGACAGAACUGGGACAUGGCAAAUUGCACUUUCGAAGCCUGCUGCAGAAAAAGAGCUGGGGUUAAAACUUUGCAUUAAAACCAGUCACAUACUAUAUUCUUAGAACAAGGGAUAAAGUAGGACAGCACACAACUAAGUUACCUUCUAAACCAUUUCACUUGAAACGUUUUCCAUCCUCCUCUUAUUCUCCUUUUCUAGUCUGUAAAAGACAGUUGUCUGUACAACUAGUGUAGCAUUACUUUUAUUUUUACACUGUACUACAGAUUUGUACUCAAUUAAAGAGACUUUGCUACCUGCCAAUAUCA
Long non-coding RNA from Columba livia (rock pigeon), 3354 nucleotides. RefSeq lists it as uncharacterized. Lineage: Eukaryota; Metazoa; Chordata; Aves; Columbiformes; Columbidae. The record is from RefSeq and is a predicted model, not a curated record. The transcript has 6 exons.